GCCGGAGCCCAUCCGCUCCCAACAUUGGGAGGAGCCGUCGGACCUGCCCCGCACCAACUACGAAGGCGAGGAACCCCCAGAGCCCCUCCGCCCCUGCUGUUACCCAGAGGAGCCGUCGGAGCCUCAGUGGCCGGAUUUCCCCGAGGAGCUGCCAGACCUGCCCCCAAGCCCCGGACCAGAGGAACCGAUGUUGCUGGACUGGCCCGAGCCCGGCGUUUUUCGGGCAGGAUACCCCACUGAGCAGGAGGUGUAGGAGCCUGCGCUUACCCCAACUGGGAUAUUGUUUGCUCAGCCCCUGCACCAAAGGGCCUGAGCUGUGACUGUUUGUGCCCCGCCCUGAUCCAGGGCCUGGGCCUCCCAACUGGCUGUUAUAUUGUUACUCAGUCCCUGCACCAAAGGGCCUGAGCUUCCUAACUCUAUACGGUUGCUCAGCCCCUGCACCAGAGGGCCUGAGCCCUGAACUAACUGUUUGUUUGCUCAGCCCCUGCACCAGAGGGCCUGAGCCCUGAACNNNNNNNNNNAUCACCUGAGCUACCAAACUGAUUGUUGCUCAGCCCCUGCACCAAAGGGGCCUGAGUUGUGACUAUUUGUGCCCUGCCCUGAUCCAGGGCAUGGGCCUACGAAACUCACUGUUGUAGUGGUGCUCAGUCCCUGCACCAAAGGGCCUGAGCUCCCUAACUCUAUUUGGUUGCUCAGCCCCUGCACCAAAGGGCCUGAGCCCUGAACUAACUGGUUGUUUGCUCAGCCCCUGCACCAGAGGGCCUGAGCCCUGAACUAACUGGUUGUUUGUUCCACCAGUAGUGAGUCGGCGUGGCUCCCCUCCUGCCCAGGAGGGUCGAGCCCCGGCACGAACCUUCUACACUGCAGUUAUAUCACUUCAGAUCGAGAUAACCUUUGGAAGAUAAAUAGUUUUCAUGACUAGGUAUGAAAACUAUAUGCUCACUAUUUUUUGUCAAAAUAAUUUGUAUAAUACUUUGAACACUAAAUCAUUUUUACAGGUCUUGUUGUUAAGCAUUUCCUGAUAACUAUGUCAG
Molecule: long non-coding RNA, 1034 nt
Filed under: Chrysemys picta bellii (western painted turtle)
Lineage: Eukaryota; Metazoa; Chordata; Testudines; Emydidae
Description: lncRNA (ENSCPBG00000003692.1)
Source: RNAcentral